CCUUCGAUAGCUCAGUUGGUAGAGCGGUGGACUGUAGUUGAGAAAAAAUUGUCUUAAAAGAUAUCCAUAGGUCGCUGGUUCAAAUCCGGCUCGAAGGA
This 98-nucleotide transfer RNA is filed under the name Musca domestica (house fly). It matches the Rfam family "tRNA". From Rfam's summary of the family: Transfer RNA (tRNA) molecules are approximately 80 nucleotides in length. Their secondary structure includes four short double-helical elements and three loops (D, anti-codon, and T loops). The record is from Rfam by way of RNAcentral. Lineage: Eukaryota; Metazoa; Arthropoda; Insecta; Diptera; Muscidae.